This 433-nucleotide ribosomal RNA is filed under the name uncultured bacterium. Its description in RNAcentral is "partial 16S ribosomal RNA". It matches the Rfam family "Bacterial small subunit ribosomal RNA", at positions 29 to 507 of the family's 1533-position model. The record is from RNAcentral.
AACGAACGCUGGCGGCAGGCUUAACACAUGCAAGUCGAGCGCAUCCUUCGGGGUGAGCGGCGGACGGGUGAGUAACGCGUGGGAACGUGCCCUCUUCUACGGAAUAGCCUCGGGAAACUGAGAGUAAUGCCGAAUACGCCCGCAAGGGGAAAGAUUUAUCGGAGGAGGAUCGGCCCGCGUUGGAUUAGGUAGUUGGUGGGGUAACGGCCUACCAAGCCGACGAUCCAUAGCUGGUUUGAGAGGAUGAUCAGCCACACUGGGACUGGGACCCGGCCCAGACUCCUACGGGAGGCAGCAGUGGGGAAUCUUGGACAAUGGGGGCAAACCUGAUCCAGCCAUGCCGCGUGAACGAUGAAGGCCUUAGGGUUGUAAAGAUCUUUCAGCUGGGAAGAUAAUGACGGUACCAGCAGAAGAAGCCCCGGCUAACUCCGUG